This 253-nucleotide ribosomal RNA is filed under the name uncultured bacterium. Its description in RNAcentral is "partial 16S ribosomal RNA". It matches the Rfam family "Archaeal small subunit ribosomal RNA", at positions 474 to 727 of the family's 1478-position model. The record is from RNAcentral.
UACCAGCACCCCGAGUGGUCGGGACGAUUGUUGGGCCUAAAGCAUCCGUAGCCGGUCAUGCAAGUCCUCCGUUAAAUCCACCUGCUUAACAGAUGGGCUGCGGAGGAUACUACAAGGCUAGGAGGCGGAAGAGGCAAGCGGUACUCAGUGGGUAGGGGUAAAAUCCUCUGAUCCAUUGAAGACCACCAGUGGCGAAGGCGGCUUGCCAAUACGCGCUCGACGGUGAGGGAUGAAAGCUGGGGGAGCAAACCGG